UACGGGGGGGGCAAGCGUUGUUCGGAAUUACUGGGCGUAAAGGGCUCGUAGGCGGCCAACUAAGUCAGACGUGAAAUCCCUCGGCUUAACCGGGGAACUGCGUCUGAUACUGGAUGGCUUGAGUUCGGGAGAGGGAUGCGGAAUUCCAGGUGUAGCGGUGAAAUGCGUAGAUAUCUGGAGGAACACCGGUGGCGAAGGCGACUUCCUGGACCAAUACUGACGCUCAGGUGCGAAAGCGUGGGGAGCAAACAGG
Molecule: ribosomal RNA, 253 nt
Filed under: uncultured bacterium
Lineage: Bacteria
Description: partial 16S ribosomal RNA
Rfam family: Bacterial small subunit ribosomal RNA
Source: RNAcentral